This 433-nucleotide ribosomal RNA is filed under the name uncultured bacterium. Its description in RNAcentral is "partial 16S ribosomal RNA". It matches the Rfam family "Bacterial small subunit ribosomal RNA", at positions 29 to 507 of the family's 1533-position model. The record is from RNAcentral.
AACGAACGCUGGCGGCAUGCCUAACACAUGCAAGUCGAACGAAACCUUCGGGUCUAGUGGCGCACGGGUGCGUAACGCGUGGGAACCUGCCCUUAGGUUCGGAAUAACUCCCCGAAAGGGGUGCUAAUACCGGAUAAUGUCUUCGGACCAAAGAUUUAUCGCCUUUGGAUGGGCCCGAGUUGGAUUAGCUGGUUGGUAGGGUAAAAGCCUACCAAGGCGACGAUCCAUAGCUGGUCUGAGAGGAUGAUCAGCCACACUGGGACUGAGACACGGCCCAGACUCCUACGGGAGGGAGCAGUGGGGAAUAUUGUACAAUGGGCGAAAGCCUGAUCCAGCAAUGCCGCGUGAGUGAUGAAGGCCUUAGGGUUGUAAAGCUCUUUUACCCGGGAUGAUAAUGACAGUACCGGGAGAAUAAGCUCCGGCUAACUCCGUG